CAGUCGCCGCGGGAAUACGUAGGUCCCGAGCGUUGUCCGGAUUUAUUGGGCGUAAAGGGAGCGCAGGCGGUUUAGUAAGUCUGAAGUUAAAGGCAUUGGCUCAACCAAUGUAUGCUUUGGAAACUGUUAGACUUGAGUGCAGAAGAGGAGAGCGGAAUUCCAUGUGUAGCGGUGAAAUGCGUAGAUAUAUGGAGGAACACCGGUGGCGAAAGCGGCUCUCUGGUCUGUAACUGACGCUGAGGCUCGAAAGCGUGGGGAGCAAACAGGAUUAGAUACCCGCGUAGUCCCUGUCUCUUAUACA
This 301-nucleotide ribosomal RNA is filed under the name uncultured bacterium. Its description in RNAcentral is "partial 16S ribosomal RNA". It matches the Rfam family "Bacterial small subunit ribosomal RNA", at positions 509 to 808 of the family's 1533-position model. The record is from RNAcentral.